Molecule: long non-coding RNA, 1543 nt
Organism: Apis dorsata (giant honeybee)
Lineage: Eukaryota; Metazoa; Arthropoda; Insecta; Hymenoptera; Apidae
Exons: 2
Source: RefSeq, a predicted model, not a curated record
UGCAAAGCUCUCCUCCAAUGCAUAUGAAAUUAAUAUCAUGAACAAAGGAACAGAAGAUUAAAUGUUUCACACGAAGCCUGAGAAAAAGAUGAAACACGUGAAGCAAUGCAGGGAAAAAAUGAUGUCAGCAUCUUGGACACAAUUUCUACAGAAUUUUCUUCAGAAGGGGAACUCCUAAACCGGAUUCAGAACGUUCAAAGCAGUAAUAUAUCCUAAUUAAAAAAUCGACGCCUCUUCGGUCCGUCGCCUCGAAGCAUCCGUUGUCUCGAGAUGCUUCGUUCUUAUGGCAUGCUGGAAACGCAAGCACGAAUCGGAGGAACAGCAGAGUAAGAAGAAGGGGACUCCCGGAGCUGGCUCGUUAACUACGAGAAAUAUUGUGACAGUUAUGUCUGCACCACGACACGUCUCCUUCUUCUCUGAUCCGUCGUCUGAUCAUCCUUCCCUUUUGCUAUGAUAAUUAUCUGCUCCGUUCACGGCUAUCCCGCGAUAUUUCUACCACUUUGAUGGCAAUUAUUACAGCUUGCAACAUUACUGGUCGGCAACAUUACUUGGCCAAACAGAAAAUAUCUAGAGGCAUUAUCAUAAAUUAAUUAGUUUAAAGCGAUGCAAUAUCAAAUCCGGUUGCUGCUACUGUAAAGUAAAUAGGAGAAUUAUGUAACUGUCGCUAUCCAUUCUACAACUUUGUGCAAGAAUUAUCUAAAUCUUCGUUGAGUACUUCAGAUUGCAAGGAUAAUAUUAGAAACUAGAAACCAAAGUACUUGGAAAAGUGACCAAAAUGAAAUUGAACGUGGCGACAAAGAUCCAUAAAAUCGAAUUUCUAAGUAAAAUGUAAUUUAUCCUGUAUAAUGAUUAAUUGAAGAUUUCCGCGAAAAGAAGAAACGAACAUUUUGCGUUCUCGUCUCCUCCUUGCGAGAAGAAAGGGCGUAUAAGUGCUAAUUGGUCCUAAAGGGCGAUCUUCCCCCAUGGCGCCACGAUCUGGCGCCUACACAUAUGGUAGCCUUUGAAGCCAUAAUUCAGCGCUCGGUUGAUUUUGAGGGAACACAGGGUACAAGGAACUUAAACUAUUUCAGGUGCCCUAGCCUACGGAAGUCGCAGACGUUAUCGCAAUUUAUUGCAGUGCAUCUUGUUCGGAACAACUUCCGCGAAAUGUGUUUCCAUUUAAUCACAAUCUUACUUAGUUCCAGUUCUUCUCAUUAUUACGAAAUUUAAUGAUACAAUUUUUCUCGUCUACAAAAAAAGAUAUUUACAAACGAACGAUUUUUGUUCUUUCACUACGAAUAAUGAUGUAAAUUAUGUAAUAUGUACCUGAGUUUCAGUCAGCUUCAAACUUUUACUGAGCUGUAACCUCUUCGUCACGCUCAGGUAUUUGUUCCUCUCGAAUUCCGCUUCCAAUGAUUUAAUUUGCGCCGCGGUGAACGCAGUGCGAGGCCUCUUCUUUCUUUCGUCAUCACUAAUGAUGCUGUCACUUUUUUCUUGAACCUCUCUAUCCACACUUGUCGUUGAAUUGGCACCGCUACUGCUAGUGCACGCCUCUAGUAACAUC